UACAGAGGUCUCAAGCGUUGUUCGGAUUCAUUGGGCGUAAAGGGCGCGUAGGCUGCGGGGCAAGUCGGGUGUGAAAUCUCAGAGCUCAACUCUGAAACUGCACUCGAUACUGCUUUGCUUGAGGACUGGAGAGGAGAUUGGAAUUCACGGUGUAGCAGUGAAAUGCGUAGAUAUCGUGAGGAAGACCAGUGGCGAAGGCGGAUCUCUGGACAGUUCCUGACGCUGAGGCGCGAAGGCCAGGGGAGCAAGCCGG
This 253-nucleotide ribosomal RNA is filed under the name uncultured bacterium. RNAcentral describes it as "partial 16S ribosomal RNA". It matches the Rfam family "Bacterial small subunit ribosomal RNA", at positions 524 to 776 of the family's 1533-position model. The record is from RNAcentral.